RNAcentral lists this ribosomal RNA (324 nucleotides) under uncultured eukaryote. Its description in RNAcentral is "partial 18S ribosomal RNA". It matches the Rfam family "Eukaryotic small subunit ribosomal RNA", at positions 1470 to 1796 of the family's 1831-position model. The record is from RNAcentral.
CCCUUAGAUGUUCUGGGCCGCACGCGCGCUACACUGAUGCAUUCAACGAGUUUUUCCUGGUCCGAGAGGAAUGGGUAACCUUUUGAAAGUGCAUCGUGCUAGGGAUAGACUAUUGCAAUUAUUGGUCUUCAACGAGGAAUUCCUAGUAGACGUAGUUCAUCAGACUGCAUCGAUUACGUCCCUGCCCUUUGUACACACCGCCCGUCGCUCCUACCGAUUGGAUGAUCCGGUGAAUAAUUCGGACUGACGCUUUGAGUGGUUUCCACUCUUUGUGUUGGGAAGUCUAGUAAACCUUAUCAUUUAGAGGAAGCAAAAGUCGUAACA